CCUACGGGAGGCAGCAGUGAGGAAUAUUGGUCAAUGGGCGGAAGCCUGAACCAGCCAAGCCGCGUGAAGGAUGAAGGCCCUACGGGUGGUAAACUGCUUUUAUACGGGAAUAAAGAGUCUUACGAGUAGGGCUUUGCAUGUACCGUACGAACAAGCAACGACUAACUCCGUGCCAGCAGCCGCGGUAAUACGGAGGGUCCGAGCGUUAUCCGGAUUUAUUGGGUUUAAAGGGAGCGUAGGCGGCAUGUUAAGCGUGCUGUGAAAUGUCCGGGCUCAACCCGGGCCUUGCAUGGGAAACUGGCGUGCUUGAGUCCGCGAGAGGUAGGCGGAAUUCGUGGUGUAGCGGUGAAAUGCUUAGAUAUGACGAAGAACCCCGAUGGCGAAGGCAGCUUGCUGGAGCGUAACUGACGUUGAUGCUCGAAAGCGUGGGUAUCGAACAGGAUUAGAUACCCUUGUAGUC
Molecule: ribosomal RNA, 460 nt
Filed under: uncultured bacterium
Lineage: Bacteria
Description: partial 16S ribosomal RNA
Rfam family: Bacterial small subunit ribosomal RNA
Source: RNAcentral